Molecule: long non-coding RNA, 2243 nt
Filed under: Coffea arabica (coffee)
Lineage: Eukaryota; Viridiplantae; Streptophyta; Magnoliopsida; Gentianales; Rubiaceae
Description: long non-coding RNA (CARA_LNC000799)
Source: RNAcentral
GAGCAUGUGCAAAAGCUUUAAGGGCUUCUUUGUGCUGGCCCUUAGCUUCGUGAAGCAUACCUGCAUGUAUCACAUCAAGCAACACCUUACAGGUAAGAUGAUUGCAUGCACAACCACCACCACCAACAACUGGAAAUACAAGGACUCAAACAUACAUUGUACGAGAACAUGAAAAAGUAACCGUUCUUAUUUUUUCACCAGACAAGAGGACUAGCCACAAGAAAUUGGCAAAAGAUGGUGAACCAGAAAGUUUCUAUACCCUCACUUUCUGAUUCAUUUGACCCCUUUGAACAACAAAGCUUGCAAUAAUGACGCCAUUUACAGCUGGAGUAAAACUAUUAAACCACAACACCAACUUACCUUAACUGCAUGCUCCAAGGCAUAUGUCCUAUCAUCCAUAAUUAUCAUUAAUAAGGGUAUGAUGGAAUAUGAUAAAUCAACCAUCCUUGAAGACAUAAAAAGCACAUUAAUUCUUGUCCCUUCAAUCGCCAAAAGCAAUCUUUGAUAGAUUCUCUGAGUAGGUAUUAAGAGCUAAUUUAACUUUACUGAAUAAAUAUUUCCCCCCGACCAUCAUUCACAUAGACUGCAUCUCCAGUUGUUUUUAUAAUGGGAGACAAGAUUAAACCAACUUCGAAAGCAUUCAUGCAAAAUCUAAAAAGCAUCUCAAUCAAAAUCCCUUUCUCUUAUAUGAUCUCCCUUCUCCUUUCACAAUCAGAAGCAAGAUGCAAGAUACAAACAGAAUAUAGCAGAAUGAGGAAUACAAGUAUUCAUUUAUGUACCAGCAGUGUGCCACCUCAUAGCAGAAUGACGAUUUAUGCCUUCAGACUUGGAAAGACAGAUUUCAGCAUCCCUCCACUGAGACAAUCUAAUGUAGAUGGAAGCCAAAUCAUGCCAAGUUUCCAGCUCCAAAUUUCUAUUCUGUUUCCAUCCACCCUGUCACAUGAUCAACGCAUGAGAGAGAUAGAGUGUGUGUGUGUGUGUGUGAAUUUUAGAAUCUACAAAUGAACUCAAAAAGUUAAAAUUGUCUAACACGAUUUGAUCAAAACAAGUUAGGCAUACACAAAAGAAGAAUCUGUUAAACAUCUUUAAAUGAAGAGACAGGUGACAAUCCACUAAUUUGUCUAUAAUAUGCGACAUAUGCAUAACCUAAUCUACAUGAACAAACCAGAAGAAGCUAGCCAGCUGAGGUUCUGAAAGUUUAAGUUAGCUUCUGAAGAAAUUCAUGCUAUAAGUAGGAGCUAGUGCCUCUAACAUCACAUAAAGAAAGGUAAUUAUCAUGCAAGCUACCGAAUACCUAUGGGUGUAAUCUUUAUAAAUGCAUGGCCCAAAAGGCAACAUUACAAGUGCUACAAAUAAAAGCUUUUUUAUAAUAUUCAAAUUGUAAAACUGAGGCUGCAGAAGACAUUAAUUUAGCUAAUAAGCAAGUAUUAAACAUACCUCAAGCUUUUGCCCUGAACCAAAACUUUUGAGUUGAACUUGAAGAACAGCAAGAAGCUGAGUGUAGGUUUCUAUUGCAUUCUUGACUUGACCCUGUGCAAUUUGGAGUUUAGCUUUAGUUCUCAACAAAUCUCCCUGAUCCCAUCUUCCUGUCUGAUCUAGAGCUGCAUUAAUGAUACUUUCGGCAUCUACAAACCGUUUCUGAGCUGAUAAUAUGCGAGCACAUAAUAACCACGCCCUAGGAUUAGAACCAUUUUCCAAUUCGAGCAAGAAUUUUGCAUAAUAAAAUGCAGAAUCCAACUUCCUUUGUUCAGCAUUUUCUAAGCUAAGAUGGUAAAUAAUCAUGGGGUCCUUCAUCUGGGUAAUUUUACCGGCAAUUUCUAGGGAGUGAAGUGCCUCAGUCUGUCUCUGUACCCUCUGAGAAUCACUCACAGCUGAUCUGGAACUAUUUGAAAGUGAUAUACCCUUUAGAAAAUUGGCAACACCAGUCAACUGAUCACAUCUUCCUUUCAAGCUUUCAAUGGCUCGUUGAGCAAAGCUAAUCCCAUCUUCUGCAUAUGAACAGCUGUCCCCGCAAAGUUUGGAAGCCAAUAGCAAUGCUGGAACACAUGUUGGAUCAACCGCCCUACUCAACAACUUCCUCAACAAAUUCAAAGCAGCCCAUUCAUCGCCUUCUCCAUAAUAACAGAGGGCCAGCUUCUCAUACCUAUCUUUCUGUUCUAUUGUCCUCGGAAGCAAUUCUUCCACUUGGUAAGCUAAAGCCCUUAAACCCCCUGAUAUAGACAAUGCAUAAGUAAGGUGAUCCA